This 72-nucleotide transfer RNA is filed under the name Salmo salar (Atlantic salmon). It matches the Rfam family "tRNA". Rfam says of the family: Transfer RNA (tRNA) molecules are approximately 80 nucleotides in length. Their secondary structure includes four short double-helical elements and three loops (D, anti-codon, and T loops). The record is from Rfam by way of RNAcentral. RNAcentral also lists the same sequence under 1 other name. Lineage: Eukaryota; Metazoa; Chordata; Actinopteri; Salmoniformes; Salmonidae.
UCCCGUGUGGCUCAGUUGGUAGAGCAUGGUGUUUGCAACGCCAGGGUUGUGGGUUCGAUUCCCACCGGGGAC